Molecule: small RNA, 279 nt
Filed under: Arabidopsis thaliana (thale cress)
Lineage: Eukaryota; Viridiplantae; Streptophyta; Magnoliopsida; Brassicales; Brassicaceae
Description: ATSL083960
Source: RNAcentral
AAUUUUUAGUUUAAAAAAUAUUGAAUGACACAUGUCAUCUUCUUGUGUGAUGAUGUGUCAUUCAUAUGGAGAGAGUUGACCAACUUUCAUAUAUAUGAUUUUAAGAGCAUCCUCAUUGAACAAAUAAUGAGGAUGUCUUUAAUUAUAAUAAGAAUAAAAAUAAAAUAAAAGUAAAGUCUAUUGGAGAAAGAGGAGAGAGGGUGUCUUCCCACCGACACUAAAGACAUUUUUAUAGACACAUGUUUACAUUUGGCACUCAUUGAUUGGUUAAUAUUUUUU